GUGGGCUUCUCAAAAUAGGCCUCGAAAUGGUUAUGCAGUUGCUUAGGUCCGUCAAUCUCUUUACUCCUUUAAAGCGUCACUUGUCGUCCCGUCGUGCGUCCCAGUGCGAAGCGCGCGUCCACCCGCCAACUGACGCCACCACGCGACCGGUUUUACUCCUGACCCGGUGCCAGUCCACCCACGUUCCCACGCAACCGGUUUCUCCUGAACCGGUGCCAGACCACCUGAUCCGAUUUUAAUGCACACUCUGACAAUAGGGCCUGCCAACCAGAUUUCACGCUUUCCACACCCCCCACCUCACUCGAAUUCACUCGGUUAUGGCAAUUUUUUAAUCGGAUCUUGCCGCUCUCACAACGCCUCACGUCCCUCUUUAUUCUUUACAUAUAUUUUGUUUCACUAUAAAUUACAUACGAUGUUCCUUUUCUUUUCGGUUUUGUUCAUUUGCCUUUGGUGAGAACUCUUCUAUUUGUCACAUACAUCCCCUAUUAUAUUCAUCUACUAAACCCUUCACCGUUAUAUGUUAUGUUGAAAUUGUGUUCAUCGCCGUCUUCAUUGCAGCGGGUUGAAGCGUCAUGAAAGUUAUGGUCUGUUGAAGCUACCUUCACCAGGAAGUCGUCUAGCCCUGUAAGGCCUUGUUCGGUUACAUGGGAUAUAAUCCCACCAUGGAUUUAAUUCGGGUAUGGAUUGGGUGAAUCCAUAUCUCACACCCAAUCCCAUGGUGGGAUUAAAUCCAUCAACAAAUCAAUGCAACUUUCAAAGCUAGUUAUUCUUUUGAUCCAUGGAUUCUAAUGUAAACUUGUGCAAUAUCUCAUGGAUUUGUUCCAUACCUAAUGGGCUAUGGAUAGAAUCCAUGUCUUCCAUAGUUUAAAAAAUUCUCAAACCUUUGGGUUAUAUUCCAUGAUGGGUUUAACCGAAUAAAAAAAAUUAACUAGUCAUGGAUUAUUUUGGGGCAUGGAUUGAGGCAUGGAUUUAAUUCCAAUCCAUGCUAAUCCAGAGCGGGAUUGGUGUAAACGAACAAAGCCUAAAGAGGCAAUUUUCCAAACAAGUGUUAGUAAUUACAAUUCUACAUAGAUUGACAGCAUGCUUAGUUAAUUAACAAUAGUUUAAUAGACUUUUUUAGUCUUGACCUUGUUUCACUCUUAGACUGCACAACAUUCAUUUAGAAUAGGGAUCUUGGUUUUGCUAAUUUCUUAGCGUGCAUGUUUAUUAGCAGUAGCAGAUAAUGCUUAACAUUACUUAGGAAAUGAUUAAUAAACAGCAUUAUAGCAGUAGCAGGUAUGAUAUUGUUUAACCAGAUAAUAACAUGUAUGCUUUUGUGCGAAUGCCGAAUGGCAUGGCUUGUUUGUUUGAUUGGGGAUGAUGCUUGGGUAGAUGGAUGAUAGGCAAGGGUAUAUUACAUGUUAAUUAUUUAGUCAAUAGCAGGUAUACCCAUUCAUCAAAUAAUAGUGCGUUCUUAAAGGCAGGCUAAUAGACAUAAUUAAAAUGGUAGUCGAAACUAAUAUUCGACAUGACAAAACAUAUGGUAAAAAAACUUAUAUCUCAUUCUUGAAACAAACAACCGGUGAAACUGAUAUUGUUUUAUUUUACUGAUCAUUAAACAAUAGAGAAACCGGUGAAGUAAAUAGAGCAUAAAACUUAUAUCGUGGAGAGUAAGUACACUUUACCAUGCUCAUCUCCUUGAUCCAUCUCCCAUUGGCUUCCCCCUCAUCCCAACCGCCCCAGCCUGAAAUCAAAUGAAAUUACUCAAGAUGUGGUGAUGUGUAUAGCGAAGCAUGCGAUUGUAGAGCACAAACUUUAUUUAGCUCUGCUGCCCGGCCAAUGAUGAAGAUAGGUUGACAGACCUGAAAUUCUCGGAUUGGAACACAUGUUCCAUCGCGGCAAAGCAGAACAGCGUCCCCGACUUAUCCUUGUUCUACAGAUCACUGCAAUAAUAAGAAAACUAAACAUAAACCGUUGAUAAGAGAGAGUAAACUGAAUCGUAGAUAAGGGAGAGUAUACGGUACCGCAGACAGGGGAGAGUGCUAAUCCACUUGAUCGAUCCGCCGUUGACUCUUCUGGAUCUCCCGCAUUGGGAAGCUGGGAUCCCCAACGUCUCUCGUGUGCAUCCAACUCAUGAAGCGGAUCCUCUCGGCCUCCCUUGCUCCCACCUCACGUAGGCACACGGCUCAAUCUCGGCAUCCCGUAUGAGCUCGAGCUGCGCGCCCCCCGUCUCGAACAGCGGGAUCAUAGCGUUCUCCGGCGCGAGCCCAAUGACCACCUCGCUCGCCCGCCUCACAGUCGCCGCCACCAAAUCCGCCCUAUACCACUCCGGAAAUAUCGGAAGCGAAUGAAGCUAGGGUUAGGGCAUGCCGAAAUUUUCAUUUAUAUAUGCGAUUUCGGUAAAUCGUGGCCAUUCAAUCGAAAUGGAUGGCGAAGAUAAAUUGGGCCAGCUCCUGGGACGUCUGUGGGCUACGAGCCCAUGCGGGGGGGGGGGGGGGGGGGGCGCAGGCAGCUUUAGUGGACCAGGCAAAAUUCGGUAUGAAUUUGUAAGUUUAUUCGGCCCCCACUGGUCAUUUGUUCUUCAAUUACGUCACCACAAAAUUUGUUUCAAAUUUAUCGUUGAUGCGUUGUGUCAUGUUGUUCCAUGCUUCUUUUGUCCAACCAUUUUGGGCACGAUAUCUUGGUGAAUUGUACUCCUUCAGUAAGCUCACAAAAAAACAAGUUCUUGUUUCAUUCCAUUCUGCCCUCAUUUCUAUUCUUCCUACAAACAAAUAGCAAUCAACGAAUUGUUAAAAACCUAAUGUAGCCACUGGAGCAAACAAUCAAAUCUCAAACCUAACAAAUCUAAACUGAAAUCUAAACUAAUCAAAUCUGAAACCUAGAGCAGUCACAAACUAAUCCAAACUGAAACCUAAACAAAUCCAAUUUGAAACCUAGAGCAGUCACAAACUAAUCCAAAUUGAAACCUAAACAAAUCCAAUUUCAAACCUAGAGCAGUCACAAACUAAUCCAAACUGAAACCUAAACAAAUCCAAUUAGAAACCUAGAGCAGUCACAAACUAAUCCAAACUGAAACCUAAACAAAUCCAAUCUGAUGAAGCAACAGCAAAAUCUGAAAAAGAAAUAGGAGGAUGUGGGGAGGGGCUGCUGCAGCGGCAUGGAGGGAGCAGGGAGUGGAGGCCAGGGGGAGGAGGUCACGGGAUGGAGGCCAGGGGGAGGAGGUCACGGGAAUGGAGGCUAGGGGGAGGGUGGUCGCGUGGAACAGAGCAGGGAGGGAGGUCGUGGUGGGUGGCAGGAUUGAGGCCGGCGGGAUGGAGGCCGCAGGAAGGGAGGGGCCGGCGGGAUGGAGGCCGCAGGAAGGGAGGGGCCGGCGGGAUGGAGGAUGCAGGAAGGGAGGCAGCGGCGGGAAUCCAUGGGGAGGACAACAUGUACGUGAAGGAAUGGUGCCAUGGGGGAAGAAAGAAGAAGGAUCCGUACCUGACUUGGUUUGCUUCAUCUCUCCACGCAUCUCCCGUGGUGGUGGCGGCGCUGCUAAGGGCCUUCCGUCGGUGGUGGCAGCGCUGCUAUGGACGGGAGUGGAAGGGAAGGAGGAAGCUAGGGCGCGCCGCACGCGGGAGAAGGAAAAAAUACGCGCGCUCGGAGGUAUCCACGCGCGCGAGCGACCGACGCGUGAGAAAACAGAGGUAUGGACUGCAGUAUUGAAUACUGCAAAAAUACCAUGGUAUUGACAAAACUGUAUUAUUGAAAACUCUGUUUUUUUUUUUUUGAACAAACGCAGGAGAGCUGCGUGUCAUUAUAUUAAGAAGAAAAAAAGAACAUAGGAGAGACAAGACUUGUCAACCCCUAAUUACAAAGGCCCCUAGGCCGAGACCCCUCCGGCAAUAACACAACGCACCACACACACAAGGUAACAACCCGACCAAUAACGACUACCAGCAGGAAAACUGCUAAGGUCCCCUAGGGAGCUGGCGCAGCAGGAGGUCCUGCAGAGCUGAUGCACCAGCCAAACACCAGACGUUGCCCUCCUCAAUCACAGCACUCUGAACUCGCUGGGUGCAGGGCACAACCCCCUCAAAAACACAAGCAUUACGAUGCUUCCAAAUCUCCCAAGCAACCAAAAUGAUCAAGGAAUUAAGACCUUUUCUUAGACUCUUCUCCACUUUCUUGAUACUUUGGCACCACCAAUUUGAGAAACGAGUGCAUCCAUGCUGAGGCACAAUGGCAAGGAGGCCUAAAUUGUGUAGCAUGGACGUCCAUAUCUGCCGAGCGAACACGCAGGAGACAAGAGUAUGCUGGAUGGUUUCCUCGGCCUGAUCACACAGAGGGCAAGCAACUGGAUGGGGCAGACCUCUUUUUGCAAGUCGAUCAGCUGUCCAAACCCUGUUUUUGAUUGCCAACCAUACAAAGAAUUUGCAUCGUAAGGGGGCCCAGGUCUUCCAGACACGUCGCCAAGGGCCAAAAGGGAUAGAGCCAACAAAGAGAGCAUCAUAGGCCGAUUUGCUACAAUAAGUACCAUGAGCAGAGAGGCGCCAGAUGUGUUGGUCUGCGAUGUCAGGUUGCAGAACUACCCCAUCAACCAAGUUCCAUAGCUGCAGAUACUCUACUAGGACCGUUACAGACAAUCCUCCCCGAAUAUCUGACACCCAUUGACGAUUUGUGAGCCCCUCAGCUACUGUUCUUCGCUUUAAAGCCCUUCUAGAAAUCACUUGGAUAAGGGUUGGACAGUGUUCAGCCACAGUUUUACCAAGGAGCCAACGAUCAGUCCAGAACUUCACAGAUUCACCACUGCCUACCACUGAGGUAAUAGCCACAUCAACGAGGGCCUUUGCAUUACGGUGCACUCGGAUAGGGAGACCAGCCCAUGGCCUUGACGCGUCAGUCUUUUGUAACCAAAGCCACCUGGCACGUAGGGCCCAUCCAAACAUCUCCAGGUUGAGAAUACCCAGACCACCAUACUUGAGAGGCCGCUGGACAGCUUCCCAGGACACAAGACAGUUACCUCCAUUUGCAUCACCUUGCCCCUUCCAAAGAAAGCCUCUUCUCCUCUUAUCGAUUGCCUUAAAAACCCAUUUAGGGAGUUCUAAAGCAAGCAUAAGAUAGAUAGGGACAGAAGACAACACUGUCUUAACCAUGACAAGACGACCAGCCCGGCUGAGAAGAUUAGCUUUCCAUCCUGGAAGUUUAUCAGCAACUUUAUCAACAAGCGGCAGGAGAUCAGAGUUAGCAAGCCUACGGAUUGAUAGAGGAAUCCCCAAGUAAGUGCAGGGAAAAUUUUUUGUAGCACAUGGUAAUAAGGCAGAAAUGGUGGUCAGCUCAUUCGCUCCACAUUGAAUGGGCGUAACAGAACUUUUGGAGAUGUUCGUUUUUAACCCAGUAGCAUGACCAAAGAUGUCUAAAAUGCUGAUAAUUGCUGAGAUAUCCUGAUGAGAGGGCCGCAUGAACAAAACAACAUCGUCAGCAUAGAAGGAGAUACAAUGUUUGACAUGUUGAUUUGCAAUCGGCUGCAGCAUAUGUUCCCUGAAAGCAUAACUGACCAUAGCAUUCAAAGCCUCCAUGACAAGGAUAAACAACAUGGGGGACAAAUGAUCGCCUUGCCGAAGACCCCUAUGAUGCAGAAUGUAUUCCCCAGGCUCGCCAUUGACAAGGAUCCGUGUAGAGGAAGUGCAAAGCAACAGACUAAUAAGGUUGCACCAGCUUCGACCAAAACCCAAGUGUUGUAACAUGUCAAGCAGGAAUGGCCAGGAUAUCGAGUCAAAGGCCUUGGAAAUAUCCAACUUCAGCAGGAUGUGAGGCUCUUUUGAGUGGUGUAAUGAUCUGAUAAGUUGCUGCACCAGUAGGAAAUUGUCUUGUAUACUCCUUCCUUUGAUAAAGGCACUUUGGUUGAUAGAGACCAUACUUGGCAGGUGGGGUGCCAACCGAGCUGCUAGCACUUUGGUCACCAACUUAGCAAAGCUGUGAACAAGGCUUAUUGGCCUGUAAUCCUUGACCAGCAGGGCAUCCACCUUCUUAGGCAGGAGGGUGAUAAAAGCCGUGUUGAGGAGUUUGAGUUUGGAGACAUGCCCACAUUGCACAGCAAGCAAAGCACCCAUCAUAUCCUCCUUGAUGAUAUCCCAGCAAACCUUAUAAAAACGACCUGUGAAACCAUCUGGCCCAGGAGCCUUGUCCAAAGGCAUAUUUUUAACAACUGACCAAACCUCCUCCAUAGAAAAAACAAGCUCAAGAUCCCCCAAAUCAUGUUGUUGAAUGCCCAGGCUGUGUAGGUCCAGGGUGUAGUCCCUAUGUUCAGCUGUACCUAGCAGGUUAUCAUAAAAAUCCAAGGCUGCUUGCUGUUUUUCUUCCUGUGAGGUGACAAUACGUUCCUCAACCUGGAAUUUUGCAAUAAAGUUCUUUUUCUUGCGGUAGCGGGCUUGCUGAUGGAAGAAAGAAGUAUUUGCAUCACCCUCUUGUAGAUACAAAAUGCGAGAGCGAAGCCUCGCAAUAGUGCGCUCCAAUGAUGCCAAACCGAGGCAAUGCAGUUUCAAUUUUUUUCUAAGUCAUUCCUCCCCGGGUGAGAGCACUCUAUUGUCCCUGGCAAUCUCAAGGCGGUGCAGAAUUUCCUUAGCAGUAGCAAGUUGCAGCUUUACAUUACCAACCUUGUGAUGGCUCCAUUUUUGCAGCCCCUUGCUAAGUCGCUGCAGUUUUAAGAAUAUACCCUCAACAGGGCAAGCAGUGGAGACCGGAGCAUUCCAGCUAUGGCUGACAGCCUCAAGGAAACCCGGCAAUUUGGGCCAAUAACUUUCAAAGUGAAAACGCCUCUUCUUAUGGGUUUGGACAUUAAGGCUGAGAAUAAGAGGACAAUGGUCCGACACCCCCGAGGAUGCACUUUGCAAGAGCGAAUUAGGAAAGAAAUCUUCCCAAUCAUUGCAACAGAACACCCUAUCAAGUCGUACAAGAGUUGGAGAAGACCUUUCAUUUGACCAUGUAAAUUUGCGACCAUGCAGUGGAAUUUCCUUAAGAAGGCAGUCAUCAAGAAACCUUCGAAAUCUGCCCAUCAAAGCUCUAUUCAGUUUAGCAUUAUUUUUGUCAGCAGCUUGAUAGAUCAUGUUAAAAUCCCCAGACAACAGCCAAGGACCACUGCAGAGGGUUCUGAAAUCAAGAAGCUCCUGGAGGAAUUGAAUUUUCCUAUCAUCUUCCUGCGGGCCAUAAACACCAGUGAACCACCAAUUCAUACCAUCCAUCCUAGCAAACUGAACUGAAACCGAGAAAUUAUCAAUACGAGAGGAGAUGACUUGACAAACUGCUCCCUUCCAUGCAAUUAGAAUGCCACCACGAGUACCAACAGCAGGCAGGGUCAAGAACUUAUCAAAAUCUGAACCACACACAGAUAGGAGCAGAUGGGAAGAAAACGACGCCACUUUAGUCUCUUGGAGGCAAAUAAUAUCAGCUUUGGAGGAUAGAAUUGUGUCUCUUACAUAAUCUCGCCUAGCCUUAUUAUUAAGGCCACGGGCAUUCCAUACAAGAAUGUUUGAUAGAUUCAUUGAAAAAACAAAUAAACACGACCAAGGACAGCAGGAAUUAACAGCCUGCCAGGAGAACUGGGCUGCUGGAAUCAUCAAAUCGCUCAGCCUGCCAGCCAAAAAUAGCAGCAAGUGCAGCAAGAUGAGAGUCCGUCAGGCGCCCCUCGAACAGCUUAAAAUAGUUGUCUUGAGCUUUUUGAUCAAUGGCUUCUUCCGUGGCUGCGAGACCCAAACUCCUGAUGACUUUCUUUUGGGCUUCAGUGAUGAUCGGACCUGGAGAACAAGGCUUGACACCAGCCACCCUCCUACUCCGACGAGGCACAGCAACAACAGUCUUACUGCUUCUAAUCUUGGCAACCGGCAUGGGCAGCAGCUGUACCACUGGCUUGAUGAUUUUCUCCAGGUCAUUGAAAGAAACAGCAGGCGCAUCCGGCGCAGAACAUUUCUUAGAGUGACGCUUUCGCCUAAAAUAUACCUGAAGGUUGGAAGGGAGGCCACCUCUGCGAUUAAUGGCAGCAUCCUGCGGCUCAACAGACCUAUGCCUCUCAACAGGGUGAGGAAUACCCUGGUUAGACACAAUGUCUGGAACCACAGCAGCACCAAGUCUAUCCUCUUCCCAAGUAAGCAGAGGUAAAUUUGCGGAAGGAAUAGAGGUGACAGCUAUAGAAUCCUCAGAACUGGGCGCCAGCUGCUCCACGGUCCCUGGCUCAUCAACAGGGUCCAAGGGACCCUGGAUAUGCUCAGGGCCCGGAGCCAUGGCCCCCAACAUAGCAGUAGUAGACAUGACAGCCUCAACCGGAGGAGACAAUAAUAAUAAGGCCUCAGACGGAGUCCAUGGGACUUCCACAUCCAAGGCCUGAAGAACCGCAAGGUGCUGGUCCGCGCUCGCCUGAGGUGGGGAGGAACCAAGCAUUGAAUAUGCCCGAACAGCAGCCAAGUCUUCUUCCCUAGGCUGAACCGCAGACCCUGGGCCUAGACGUUGAAGAGCAGAUUGUCUGCCCUUAUGCACACCGUCAUCUGCAGAGCCCCUCCUACCAUCACGGUCCCCAGGUGGCGAACGUGAACGGAAGCGCCUCCUCCGCCGUGCAGAAUCAUCCAAAUCAGAUGGGACCUGGGUGGGAUCUGGUACAGCACGUUGUCCCACCAACACUUUAAUCUGAACAUGAUAGGCAAGAGCUAGCCUACCAACACCUGGUCCAAUUCCCAGAGGGUCGGUAAUCCAAAGGUCUCUAGUCUGAGGGAUUAAAGCCAAGUCAUAACACCAACCGUAACAACGAAAGACAUCCAAAUUCUUGAGUUGUAAAGUAUCAUCAUGCACCUCCUGGACCCAAGCAAAAGGAUUUAAAAGCUGUUGGACAGUGGUCAGCUCCCAGGCAUGCAUUGGAAUGCCACGUAGCUCGAAUUCCACAGGGAUAGGCAAACUUGCACUCGAAGACCCAAAGAACUUGGACCACUUUUUACAAUGCAGGGAAAAAGCGCCUGCACGAAUAGUGUUCCAUCUCACUGUCAACUGGUCAGCAAACUGCAGGGAGGGAAGCAUGAGCAGGAAAUGUCCAUGGGCCAGUUUCCUCAGAAUUAGCGAAUCAGAACUGACUUCAAGCUUUUGAGCAACCGCAUCUGCAAUAUCAGCAUCUGACACAGGCACAUCACUGACCACAAAGAUAGAUACUGCAAACUUCAAGUCCUCCUCUGCUUUUUCCAUCAAACUGUUCCAACCAAUCACACAAGGUUGCUGAUGAUGCGCUGACCCAGUUUCAGUCAGAAGCGCCUCCUCGUCUGUUUCACAACAAGCUAUCAAACACAUACACCCUCAAAACUGUAGUAUUCUAGAAUACUACAGUAUUUGACAAAAACUGAAAAAAUACUGUACUAACAAAUAGGCACUACGUGUUUUCCAACAGCACACUCUAAAAUGUAUUGCAGGGUUUAUAUUUACUCAUGCGCAGUACAAUAUGAAGCCCAUAAAUAUAUUAAAUUCUUUAUCUUCUAGUAGUAAAUAGAUCCCCUCACAAUGCAGUCUACUUUUGCAUAUUCUCUCUUUUGCAAUGCAAAAUGGAAAGGGUAUUUAGACUGUGUGUUGGAGAUACUUUCUAAGUACUACAGGACAUGUUAUAGUCUAUUUUUUGAAAUAAACUUCACUUGACACUAUGCAUUGGAGUCAGUCAACCUACAGUAAUGUACGGAGUACUAACUCUACACAACUUGCAACAGCAACAACAGCUCACGCUGCUGAUUCCAUCAGGGUUCAGGCCACCUAGGGCCUUGUUCGUUUGUGUCGGAUUGGUGGGUCGGAACGAUUCCUAGACGGAUUGCUUCUCUAAUUUAUAUAAACUUUGAUUAGCUGGAUCGAUUCCGAGUGCAAUCCGACGUAAACGAACAAGGCCUAGGGCUCCUUUGGGAGCACGGAAACCGACCGGUUUCCUCGGGAGCCCGUCACACCGUGGCCUAGAAUGCCCGUGGCGGUCAUUGGGCCAUUUGGGAGAUCAGUCCGCGUGGUAGUAGGCCCUGGGCGCGACGGGUUUCGCUGGGUCGCGCACGUCUCGCCUCCGGAGGCCGGGCACACAUUCCCGUCGAGCGUCGUUCCCGUCCUUGACUCUUCGCUCCCACCUCCACAACAACGACAUCGCUCGAGCAGAUAAAACAGCCGAGGGCAGCAGGGCCGGGGCUGGUGUCCCAAACGGCAGCAGGGCAGGGCUCACCUGCGGAGGACGCACUCCCGCGGGCAGCCAGGCGAGCGUGGCGGGGGAUGCCUGGGUUGGCCUGCCCCGGCGUAGCCUGUCCUGGCUGCCAAAGGAGCUCUUUCCUCAACCCGCGCCAUCCUGGGCCGCGUGCAUUUCGCCGAACGCUGCUUGGCCUAUUAAUAGUCCAAUUUUCAAUUGAUGUUGUACAACAUUUUUCAUUCAAAAAUGAAAUAAAAAUUGCUGUCCCAACAUCAUCAUGAAAACCAGAGGGGUAUAAAAUAAGGGGAAAUGUUGAGAGACAAGGAUACAGUUAUUUGGACUUACCAUGAAUAAACUGCCUAGCUUGUUCUGCUAUGUCCUGUUUACCAUAUGCAAGAACCUAAAAUCCAAAAAUAAAUGUACUCAUAACAAAAAUGGGAAAUAAACAUGAAGCUCAAAUUACUAAUUUGACGUUACUCACAACAAUCUGUUGCCUCAAGUUCAUCAGGCAGACCACUGACGAUGUAUCCAUGGAGAAGGAAGACAACCUUCUUUUCAUCUGCAUGCAAACUAAACGAGAUAAGUACGUACUCCGUACCAUUCAUUUUGUACAUAUGUUGCAAGAUUCAAACACAUGGAAACAAAUGGAAUCCUUGAAAGUGCAAAAUUCAAAACAAGGAAACAAAUCGACUCCUCAUAGUACGAGAGUGAAAUGCUGCAUCUAUGUAUAAGAACUUUGACUUUACCUUUAUAUUGAAGAAGAAUUUCAAAACUAUUUCCAACUCCUGCGAAUUUUGUGAACUGUAGGGUGCCGGAAGGGCGCCAAAUAUUCUAGUAGGGUAGAUUUGCCACUCUAACAAAAAGUCAUUAACCAAUUGCAACUCUUACAAACAGUAUUAAUUAUUUGCCACUCUUAUCGUUAACUUCUUAAAUAAUUGCCAUCUAAUCCCAUUUAAGCAUCCUAAUCCAAGUCUUAGCCUCUAAGAUGGAUCCAAACAAAUAGACAACAGGAUUGUACGAGCAGCAACACACGUACGAGCAGCAACACACGUACUAACUGCAAUUUGAACCAUUGUUAGCUGUCAAGCACUCCUUCAACUAGCAGACACCUCCGCAGGACACUCCACAACAUGCUAGUCAAGCCUCGUGAAUAUCUGGCUGACCUUUUCUUCACCUCUUCAUUCACUUACAUAUUCAAAUGACAACCAGACAAUAUUAUAAUGACAACUCAAUUUAUUUCAAAAAGUAUCCUUACAUUAACUUCAAUGAUAACUCAAUUUAUUUCGCAAAUCAUCCUUACAGUAACUUCAAUGAGAACUCAAUUUAUUUCAAAAGCAUCCUUACAGCACUGAAAGAACUGUAAUUACAAAUAUCACCAAAUAAAUGAAACAAUCCAAAUAUUGACAACACAAAUAUGUAAACAAGAUGCAUCCCUUCAGAAUCAUUAACAAUUUUGUCCACCACUUGCAGUUCUUGCAUGUAACUCCUCAAAGGUAUCACCAUCCGACGGUCGUCUUUCACCUGCCCAAACAUCAACAAGACAAGAACAAAAGUGUUGUUGCAUCAACAUGAACUUAUUAACAUGAACAAAAAAAAGGUGAUAUCAACACCACACCUGACUUAGUAUCAUGUUCAACUUGGACAAUCGGUUUCCUCCUAGGUGUUAGCUUCUUUCCAGAAGAUGAAGCAAAUUGAGCCCAUUCUUGGGACUCAUUAGUUCCCUCAUGUAGUUGCAAGUCAUCUGGUGUCGUGCUUGCAUUUUCAACUUGCUCUACAAAAAUAGGUCAUCUACGUCGUUUUGGUACAGAAGACUCCCCGCGUUGAUCAUCGUCAUCAACAUAGAUUUUAGGUUUUGCUCCAACCUUUGCAUUUACUUUCCUGCACCUCUUCCUACAAAAGUUCAAAAUUCACUAACAUGUAUGUCAUUUAAAAUAGAUUAAGAAGAAUUGUUGAGUACCUUGUCUUCGCGCCUGUGUAUCGACACUUUGCACUUCCUGUUCUGUGGCCAUACUCACCACAUACACCACACUUUGACUGUCUUGUAGCUUUUACUUUUCCCUUAUCAAGCCUGCAUUGACAAUCACAUCUUAUCAAGCCUGCAUUGACAAUCACACUCACAGUCAGUUCAGCAUUGUUAAUAAGACUAAUUGACAAUCACACUCACAUAUUUUAACAACUCACCCAGGUGGGAGAUGUUCAAAAAAAAAUAUCAUCAGGCAAUUUGCCCCAUUUGCUAGAAGUGACACCCUCCAAUGAGAUAUCCUAUAUGCACCACACAAUAUGAUAAAAUACAUAUGAAUCAAUUCAUCAUAGAACCAAAGCAACGUUGAAUUCAGUGAUAGAAACCUGCACGUUGCUAGUGGUGACAUUUGCAGAACCAGAGAAUUCUUCAUCAAAGUCCUUCUCAUUGCCAUCUGCCAUCUGUGGCACUACAAAACAUAAUCAACAAUAAUCGCAUUAAACUAUGCCCAAGUACUCUAUAUGUUGAAAUAUCAUAGUCCAAAUAUGAUAUGCAGCUUGACCGUGAAACAAAAACAGAUGCAUCUCUUUGUGAUAAGCUAAUAAACCAAAACGAAAUGAUGCGUCCUUGCCAAAGUAUCCUAUGCAUCAGGCUGACCUAAGACAUGAAGAGGCUCAUGCAUCAUCUGUCAUGGAUCGAUGAUUAUUUGCAAGGUUUCCUCUUACGAUCAACAUUGAAACAUUAACAGUAGGCAGACCAAAACGCAUUUGCACAACAGAACAAAAAUCUCUUCUUCUGCCUGCAACAUCCAUAAGAACAACGAGGCUACAACCAAGAACAGAUGAAAGAAUCCAGGAGCUGAAUCUUCCCAGACAGAUCCAAUCCAAGCACAGGAGAAGAUGGGAAAGCACGAGGACGCAAUGAAUCACCUGAGUGGGGCGGGUGCGGGAGGAGCUGGGUGCCGCCUGGGGGUGGGGGGUGCGAACGGAAGUGGACGCCUUGUCUCCGGCGGGCGCAGCGCUGGGCGGAGACGGAUGGCUCCAGUCACUGAACUAACUUUCGAUUUGUUUGGAUCUAGUGAUCCUAUUCUUACGGUGAGAUUCAAUUAGGAUGGUUAAAUGGGAUUAAAUGACAAUUAUUUAAGAGGUUAACGAUAAGAGUGGUAAAUAUUUAAUACUAUUUGUAAGAGUGGCAAUUGGUUAAUGACUCUUUGUUAGAGUGGCAAAUCUUUAGGGCUCGUUUGGCAGCCUGGUUUCCCUCCGGGAUCCCGACCCAACCCCCUGGUCACGAAUCCACGGGCUCAAAUCUCCCCCGGGGGGAAAAUUUGCAUUUGGCUGCCCAUUUCCCGGGCCCGAUUCGCGUGAGGUCGGGCAGGAAACCCUCGCCCAUCGCGGCGUCGCGGAUAAUGGCAAAAUUGCUAAUGGCUCCUCGCCCAGCCGCCGCCUCCGCCCCUCACCCAGCCGCCGCCUCCGCCCCUCACCCGCCGCCUCUCCGCCUCUUCCUCCCCUCCCCCUCCCAUCGUGAUCGCCCCCCUCGACCUCUCCCACCUGCCGCCAUACGGCACUUCCACCCGACCGGCUUGUAGUUGGAGAGCGCCGCCACGAGCGGCACCGACGACGACGACAUCGUGGGCAUCUGCACGGCCGUGCACGGGCUGCACGCGUAGCACAAGCCGCGGCAGCUCGGCGGGCUCGACCCCAGCCGCACCUUCUCCUCCUCCUCCUUCGCCGCCGCCGCUCCGUCGUCGCCCUGCUGCCGCACCAUUGAUCCGUUAGCGUGGCACAACAUUAACUCCGGCCAAGCACCCACCUGGACUGUAAGUCCCGAUCCAACUCCUACCGCCUCUCCCGAUGACUCUAUCCAUGUGAUUACUUUUCUUGAUGUUGUUUAGGCGCUGUAAAUUUUGCACAAAGUGCUACCUGAUGUUGUUUAGGCGCUAUAAACUCUUUACUAAUGAGUUAACUAUUCAUGAAAGAGCUGAGUGUCGUAGCUUAUGGUAUGAAAGAGCAAGAAAAUUCUGUAUUAUUCUGGUUUUGGAUGUUUUGCACUCAUGAACAGCAUCAUCAUCAGUAGCUUCAGUUCCAGAUGAUAUGUAACAUGAGUUGAUUCUUGCAGUGCCGCUUUAUAUGUAGCUUUCGUGAAAACGUGAAAAAAUUUGGACAGCUCUGCUAUGUAACAUGAGUUGAUUCUUGCAGUUCUGAUAUGUAACACGAGUUGAUAUGUAAAGGACAGCUCUGCUAUGUAACAUGCUAUGCAAGAAUUCUGAUAUGUAACAUGAGUUGUUAACUUUGCACAAAGUGCUACCUGAUAUUGACAAUGUGAAAAAAUUUGGACCAUAUUUAUUAAAAAGCUGUGCAAGUGUUAAACACUAGCUCAUAUUGUUUGAAGUAGGGUACUCAUUUAUUUACUGUCCUGACAUAGAACUCUACUCUAUGACUGGUUUUACUUGAAGUUGAAUUCUUAACCAAUGUGGUAUACUCUGGAGUAGAUAUAGAAAUAGAAAAGCUGCUUAGGUAUUUAAAUAUUGCUCAUGUGUUCGUUUGAAAUGGGCUGCUCACCAGUUAUGCGUUUCAUGUGUUUCCAUUCAUUCAUGUGUUUCCUCGUUGAUUAAAAACUGCAUUUGUAUGAAAUGGGCUGCUCACCAAUUAUGUGUUUCAUGUGUUUCCAUUCAUUCAUGUGUUUCCUUGUUGAUUAAAAACUGCAUUUGUAUGAUUAGUUGGUUUUCUGGCCUUAGAUUUGAAGUUAAGAAUAUGCUGCAUUUCUAUUUAGUCAUGCCCUUGCACUUGGUAAUAGAUCAUAAUUUAAUGGAUCACAAAAUUUAAUGGAUAGGAGCACUUAUUAGUUCUAUACAGGUGUGCUGAUUUAUUGUCUUAUGUACAGGUUGAAACAAUCGCUCACAGGCAACAUUAUCAGGUAAUGUUGAUUCUCACUAAUGUUGCAUAAAUCAGUUGUUGCAUUUGGUGCUGUUCUCUCACUCCACCAGAAAAUGGCACAUGAGUAGAUGCAUUUGGUAGAACUGUGUGGUGACCUUGCAUUCCAGAAAAAGAUUUUCUAGUGGAGUGAGAGAACAGCACAAUCACUUUACCCCUCAACCAUACCAUGUAUGAAAUUUUUUAUUCUUUCACAUUUGAGAAUUCCUUGAUAUGAAUCAGCGAUGACAUUUAAUAUCUAUGGGCCAAUUGUGCUUGUAUUGAUCUGCCAAAAUUAUACUUAAGGGUUAUGUGUUCAAAAGUGAUGUAGCUUGUAUUGAUCUGCCUUGUAUUUUACUCACCAGUUUAUAUAUCUUGUGUGAUCUGCCAAUUAUGCUUGUAUUUUACUCACUAGUUUAUAUAUCUUGUGCGAUACAAUGCUUUUUAUUUUACUCACCAGUUUAUAUAUCUUGUGUGAUCUGCCAAUUAUGCUUGUAUUGAUCUGCCUUGUAUUUUUAAUAUAUUUGUUCUGCCUUGUAUUUGUGUUUUAUAAUUAUCUGUAGUCCAUAUAUAUUUCUAAAGUCCAUAUAAUCUGUAGAUAUUAGAUAAUGGGCUCAAGGAAUGAGAUUAUGGAGUGUAGAAGGAAGAAAAUUCUGAAAUUCAUGGAAAUGGAGGAGGAAGAGGAUGAGGAACUAUUUUUUAUCAUCAUUCCUAGCAUACUCGAAGGACUUAAUGAAGAAAAAAGGGCAGUACAUACUUCUGAAUAUACUGGUGCUAAGAAGAUUAGAGAAAUUUUAGAAGGCCACGAGAAUUGGUGUAUGAGCGAGUUUCGCAUGGAGCCACGAAUAUUUAAGGCAAUAGCUAAUUAUCUAGGCGGGAGAGGCUUUUGCGCGAUACACGCGGAGUCACAAUUGAGGAACAAUUAGGAAUAUUUAUGUUCAUGAUAUCACACAAUGCUAGUAAUGGGAGGCUACAGAAGACAUUUCAGCAUAGUGGCGAAACAAUCCAUAGACAUGUGAAGGCCGUCUUCAAUAUAAUUCCUACCCUCACAUGUAGAUUUGUCAAACUUCCUACUUCCUUGGAACCUCAUCCUAAGAUUGCCUCGGACUCCCGAUUUUGGCCAUUCUUUCAGGUAAUACACCAUAUCAAUCAAUUUCCUUGACUCUUUCUUCCCAUUACCUUUGUCACCCAACACUUUCUUUCCUUUAUGUGCAGAAUUGUAUAGGUGCUAUUGACGGUACUCACGUCCCUAUCACAAUUUCAGAAGAGAAAGCCCCACCAUAUAGGAAUAGAAAAGGAACAUUAUCCCAGAAUGUGAUGGUAGCGUGUGACUUCAACUUGAACUUCACUUUUAUCUCAUGCGGCUGGGAAGGAUCCGCAUCAGAUGCUGGGGUGCUUAAAUCCGCUAUUAGCAAAGGUUUUCAUGUCCCAGAGGGCAAGUUUUACCUUGUCGACGGUGGAUACGCAAACACACCAUCAUUUCUUGCUCCAUAUCGUGGUGUGAGAUACCACCUUGGUGAGUUUAGGUGUAGUAUGAUGGAAUAAGUCUUGAGUCUUGAGCAUCUAGAGGACAGCCUGCUUUUGACUGUCCUCUGUAGUCCUUUAGCAUCUAGAGGACAGCUUGACUGUCCUCUGUAGUCUCUUUAGCAUCUAGAGGACAGCAGUCGCUUUUUGACUGUCCUCUGUAGUCGCUUUAGCAUCUAGAGGACAACAGUCGCUUUUGACUGUCCUCUGUAGUCUCUUUAGCAUCUAGAGGACAAUCCUGUUGUGUAGUGUGUGUGAGAAGGUGUGGUAGUGCAGCCCCUAGGGCUAUAAAUAUGUGUCCCCAACCCCUCUAAGGGUAUGGCAUUGUGUAGAGUUUGAUGAAAUAAACAGAAAAUUGCCCCAACUCAUAGUGUCAUCCUCUUGAUGAGAGUUAGAGUCCCUCUACUUACAAUUGGUAUCAGAGGCAAACUAUCCUGCAGCCUAAACAUCUCGUGCUCAUCUCCUUCCCGUGCCUCUCCCCACACUCAGUCGGCAGCAAGAGCUCCAACUGUUCCUUCCUCCCCUGCUCAGACGAGCAGCCUUUCGUCUGAGACAGCCUCUUCCACACGCAGCGACCCCUCACUAGCCCACCAUGUCCCUACGCUUGGCCACUUCGAGUGCGCGGCGCCAGCAGGAGGCCGAGGUCGCCGCGGCACAAGAACGCGAGCGAGCAGCAGCAGCGGCUGCAGCGACAGCGGCGAGGGCAGCACGGUUGGCGGCGGCGGAACUGGCAGCGGCGAGAGCGGAAGUAGAAGCAGCGGAGGCGGCGGAUGCUGCACGUGCGGCGGCAACAGAGCUCGAGGUUCUGCGCGGCAGUAGAGCUGGCAGCUCUGCUUCUGUCGACGACAACACCGACGACGAGCUCAGGCUGGCGAGGGAAGCAGCGCGAGAGCAGGCGGCACAGUGGGCAGCCGCGCAUCCCCAUGGGGGCGCGCGUGGCGGCAGCCCGGAUAGGCGCCGACACGCUGACGGCGCUCCAGGCGGGGGCGCACGCGGCGGCAGCCCAGACGGGCGUAGACGCGCCGGCGGUGCUCCCGGCGGCGGCGACCGAGUCGACGGAGAUCGCGGCCUCUACAGGCGGCGCGGUUCUCCCUCCCCGGAUCGGUACCAUGGUCGCCGCAUGGCCCAAGCCAUUGUCAGGGACAUCGGUCCCGGCGGUGGGUGGCCUACCCUCACCAAGACCAACUACGUCGAGUGGGCCGCGGUGAUGAGGGUACGGCUCCAGGUUCGCCACAUGUGGGAAGCAGUUCGUUACGACGACGUCGACUACCACGAGGAUCGGCGGGCGCUGGAUGCCCUCAUUGCUGCAGUCCCGCCCGAGAUGCAGUUUUCGCUUUCCCAGAAGCGGACUGCCAAGGAGGCCUGGGACGCCAUCGCUGCGACCCGCAUCGGCAGCGAUCGUGCCCGCAAGACCACACUGCAGGCACUUCGCAAGGAGUGGGAGAACCUGGCCUUCAAGCCAGGUGAGGAUGUUGAUGACUUUGCUCUCCGCCUCAACACUCUGUUGCAGAAGAUGGUGCAGUUCGGCGACGACACCUACGAUGAGGAGAGAGCUGUUGAGAAGCUCUUCCGUUGCAUCCCCGAGAAGUACAGGCAGAUUGCUCGCUCGAUCGAGUCUCUGCUAGACCUCUCCACGAUGACGAUCGAAGAGGCGAUUGGUCGCCUCAAGGUGGUCGACGGCGACGAACCACAGGCUCUCUCUGGGCCUAUCACUAUCGGCGGGAAGCUACAUCUCACUCGGGAGCAGUGGGAGGCCUGCCAGGGUGACAAGAAGCAGGGGGAGUCCUCCUCGACACGAGGCCGCAAACGCGGCAAGCCGCGCAAGGCGCGUGGAGGCGCCCAGGCCGGGGCGCGAGGACAUGCUGAGGGUGGUGCACGUGGAGGUGCCCAAGGCGGCGCCGUCGGCAACAAGAAGCCGGCACGAGACGACGGCUGCCACAACUGCGGCAAGCUUGGCCACUGGGCCAGGGAUUGUCGGCAGCCACGACGUGGCCAGGCCAACGUCGCACAGGCGGAGGCGGAGGAGGAGGCCCUGCUCCUGGCACAUGCAAGCAUCGAGCCAUCUCCAGCGGCACCGGCCGCAGCGGCACUCCUCCACCUUGAUGAGUCGAAAGCACGCGCUUUCCUCGGCGACGGCUCCAACAAGGACAUGAUCGAAGGAUGGUGCCUCGACACCGGCGCCACUCAUCACAUGACCGGCCGACGGGAGUUCUUCACCGAGCUUGACUCUAGCGUCCGAGGCUCCGUCAAGUUUGGGGACGCCUCCGGCGUAGAGAUCAAGGGCGCCGGCUCAGUCGUCUUCACCGCCGCGUCUGGUGAGCACAGGCUGCUCACCGGAGUCUACUACAUCCCCGCGUUGAGGAACUCUAUCAUCAGCUUGGGACAGCUGGAUGAGAACGGUUCGCGCGUGGAGGUCGAGCACGGAGUCAUGAGGAUCUGGGAUCCCUCUCGUCGCCUUCUUGCCAAGGUACGCAGGAGUGCAAAUCGGCUUUACAUCCUCAAUGUGAAGGUGGCACAACCUUGCUGCCUUGCUGCUCGUCGAGACGACGGGGCAUGGCAGUGGCACGAGCGCUUCGGGCACCUUAACUUCGAAGCCCUGAAGCGGCUCAGUGCCAAGGAGAUGGUACGAGGCCUGCCGUGCCUUGACCAUGUGGAGCAAUUCUGCGAUGUCUGCGUGUUGACAAAGCAGAGACGACUCCCCUUUCCCCAGCAGUCGAGCUUCCGAGCCAAGGAGAGGCUCGAGCUCGUGCAUGGGGACUUGUGUGGCCCGGUGACACCAGCCACACCAGGAGGACGACGCUACUUCUUGCUGCUCGUCGACGAUCUCUCCCGCUACAUGUGGGUGAUGAUCCUUGGCAGCAAGGGAGAGGCUGCGAACGCCAUCAGGCGUGUGCAGGUCGCUGCGGAGGCGGAGUGCGGCCGCAUGUUGCGCGUGCUGCGCACCGACAACGGCGGCGAAUUCACGGCGGCUGAGUUCGCGUCGUACUGCGCGGAUGAGGGCGUUCAGCGCCACUACUCCGCGCCGUACAGCCCGCAGCAGAACGGCGUCGUCGAGCGGCGCAACCAGACGGUUGUGGGGAUGGCUCGGGCUCUCCUCAAGCAGAGAGGAAUGCCAGCUGUCUUCUGGGGAGAGGCGGUGGUGACAGCGGUUUACAUCCUCAACCGCUCGCCCACCAAGGCUCUCAACGGGAUGACACCGUACGAGGCUUGGCAUGGGCGCAAGCCGGCGGUCUCCCACCUACGGGUCUUCGGCUGCCUCGCGUUCACCAAGGAGCUUGGCCACAUCAGCAAGCUCGACGAUAGGAGCACCCCGGGGGUGUUCAUUGGCUACGCGGAGGGCUCGAAGGCCUACUGCAUCCUUGACCCAAGAACACAGCGUGUGCGCACGGCGCGCGACGUAGUGUUCGACGAAGGGCGAGGAUGGGCGUGGGACAAGGCGGUGGACGACGGCACGACUCCGACGUACGACUUCACCAUCGAGUACGUCCACUUUGAGGGAGCUGGGGGAGUAGGCAACUCUUCUCCGAGCAGGUCUACCCCAGCCCCCAAGUCUCCGCCGACUCCAGCGCCACACUCUCCAGCUCCUGCUACAACGAGCUCUUCACCACCACGCACUCCAGCCACGACUCCGGCUACAGCGAGCUCUUCGCCACCACGUACUCCAGCACCGACGGUACCCUCUCCGGGAACGUCCUCUCCGACACCAGCUCGUGUCGAGCACGACCCAGUGGAGCUCGUGACCCCUCUGUCCCGCGACGAGGAGCGCGUCGACGCGUGCUACGACGGCGAGCCGUUGCGGUAUCGAAGGGUGGAGGGCCUUCUCAUCGACCCGUCCGGUGCCAGGCCCUGCAUCUCGCAUUCUGGCAGGAGAGUUGCAUCUUGCAUGCGACGAUGGUGAGCCUCGGUCUUUCGCGGAGGCCGAGAAACAUGCGGCUUGGCGUGCCGCGAUGCAGUCGGAGAUGGACGCGGUUGAGACAAACCGCACUUGGGAGCUCGCUGACCUCCCUCAUGGUCAUCGCGCGAUCACCCUUAAGUGGGUGUUCAAACUGAAGAGGAUGAAGCCGGCGCCAUCGUCAAGCAUAAGGCUCGCUUGGUGGCACGCGGUUUCUUGCAGCAGGAGGGGAUCGACUUCGACGAUGCCUUCGCCCCUGUAGCACGGAUGGAAUCUGUGCGACUCCUCCUCGCGCUGGCAGCCCUGAAGGGCUGGCAUGUUCAUCACAUGGAUGUCAAGUCGGUGUUUCUUAACGGCGACUUAAAGGAGGAGGUCUAUGUACACCAGCCGCCAGGUUUUGCGAUCCCUGGCAAGGAGGGCAAGGUGUUGCGCCUGCGCAAGGCUCUCUACGGCUUGCGACAGGCACCAAGGGCGUGGAAUGCCAAGCUGGAUUCCACGCUCAAGAGGAUGGGCUUCAUGCCAAGCCCGCACAAGGCGGCCAUCUAUCAGCGGGGCAAUGGAGAAAAUGCCCUGCUGGUGGGUGUCUACGUCGACGACUUGGUGAUCACCGGCGCCAAGGAUGCAGAGGUGGCAGCGUUCAAGGAAGAGAUGAAGGCCACCUUCCAAAUGAGUGACCUGGGGCAUCUCUCCUUCUACCUGGGGAUUGAGGUGCACCAGGGAGACUCCGGGAUCACACUUCGCCAGACCGCCUACGCCAAGCGCAUUGUUGAGCUGGCUGGGCUCAUCGACUGCAACCCAGCUCUCACUCCGAUGGAGGAGAGGCUGAAGCUGAGUCGCGACAGCACGACGGAGGAGGUGGAUGCUACACAGUACCGGCGUCUUGUGGGGAGCCUUCGCUACCUCGUCCACACACGGCCUGACUUGGCAUACUCCGUCGGCUACGUUAGUCGGUUUCUGCAGCGACCGACGACGGAGCAUGAGCAGGCUGUGAAGAGGAUCAUCCGCUAUGUUGCGGGGACUCUCGACCACGGUCUCUACUACCCGAGGUGCCCUGGGGAGGCACACCUUGUCGGGUACAGCGACAGCGACCACGCCUGCGACAUCGACACUAGCAAGAGCACAAGCGGGAUCCUCUUCUUCCUCGGCAAGUGCCUCAUUAGCUGGCAGUCGGUCAAGCAGCAGGUGGUGGCCAUGUCCAGCUGCGAGGCCGAGUACAUAGCGGCGUCCACUGCUUCGACUCAGGCGCUCUGGCUGGCUCGACUGCUCGGUGAUCUCCUCGGGAGAGACACUGGAGCGGUGGAACUCAGGGUGGACAGCCAGUCCGCUCUGGCAUUGGCCAAGAACCCCGUGUUUCAUGAACGGAGCAAGCACAUCCGGCUGAGAUACCACUUCAUCCGAGACUGCUUGGCAGAAGGGAGCAUCAAGGCGCGCUACAUCAACACCAAGGAUCAGCUUGCAGAUCUGCUCACCAAGCCCCUUGGGAAGAUCAAGUUUGUUGAGCUUUGCUCCAGGUCCGGGAUGACCCAACUUUCUCACAAGACGACGACCAAGACUUAGGGGGAGAAUGAUGGAAUAAGUCUUGAGUCUUGAGCAUCUAGAGGACAACCUGCUUUUGACUGUCCUCUGUAGUCCUUUAGCAUCUAGAGGACAGCUUGACUGUCCUCUGUAGUCUCUUUAGCAUCUAGAGGACAGCAGUCGCUUUUUGACUGUCCUCUGUAGUCGCUUUAGCAUCUAGAGGACAACAGUCGCUUUUGACUGUCCUCUGUAGUCUCUUUAGCAUCUAGAGGACAAUCCUGUUGUGUAGUGUGUGUGAGAAGGUGUGGUAGUGCAGCCCCUAGGGCUAUAAAUAUGUGUCCCCAACCCCUCUAAGGGUAUGGCAUUGUGUAGAGUUUGAAGAAAUAAACAGAAAAUUGCCCCAACUCAUAGUGUCAUCCUCUUGAUGAGAGUUAGAGUCCCUCUACUUACAUAGUAGGCGAUCAUCUCGAAGAAUCGCAUAUGCAGAUUAUAAGGAGCUUUUCAACCAUCGUCAUGCUAUUCUUAGAAACCAUAUUGAGCGGGCUAUUGGGGUAUUAAAGAAGAGAUUUCAGAUUCUCAUAGUGGGUACUCAUCAUCCCACUGAGUCUCAAAGUAAAAUCCCAGCUGCAGCAGCUGUGUUUCAUAACAUAAUUAGAAGAUUAAAUGGAGAUGAUAUGUGGCUAGAACAACAACCAAGUCAUAUUCAACCAGCAGAUUUUAUUGAUUUGCCCGAUGGAGAUGACAACUAUCAGAAUGAUGUAGAGUCAAUGAAUUUACAAAGCAGCCAGGGAAAUAUUCUUAGAGAUCAAAUUGCAAUGCAAAUGUGGGACCAAUACAUCCAAGAUCGGGCAUGAAAGCUGGUUAGUAGUUGGUUGUUUUGAAAGCUGCAUAUUAGUUAUUAAUUUUCAGAAUUGUUUAGUAGUUUUUGUUGUUUUUCUUGAUUGCUUUUUAGUUAGUUUUCAGAACUGUUUAGUAGUUUAUUAUAUUGAAAGCUGCUGAUUAGUUGGUUAUUUUCAUAGAACUGUUGAUCAAUUAUGGCAAGAGCUUCUUGGAAUAUGAAUUAUGAGAAGAGUCUUGUUGACAUCUUGCAUGAGCAUAAUAAUCCAAGAUUUAGGGGUCAAAAUGGUUGGAUUCCGGAGGGCUGGCGUAGUAUAACUCAAAUGUUCAAUGAGAAAUUUCCUCUAGCUCAAUUUUCGAAAGCGCAAAUCCAAGAGAAAGAAAAAGAGCUCAAAGCAAAUUACAAGUUAAUAAAGGAAGCCCGGAAACAAAGUGGGGCUGGAUGGAAUGACAGCCUUGGCAUGAUAAAUGCAUUGCCACCAAUAUGGGACAGAAUAAUUAAAGUAAGUUCCUUUUUUCGUACUUAGUUUGAUUGCUGUCCUAAUAUUUGACAUAGUUUGAUCCUAAUCUUAACCUUUUGCUGCAAUAACUAGAACCAUCCAAAGAUGAAGAAGUUCCAAUCAAAGCCAUUUCCUCUCUACAACCAAUUGGAAUUGCUAUAUCAAGGAAGCUGUGCAACCGGAGAUCUAAAUUUUACAUCCACGCAACAACUAGCACCGGUUCAGCAGGUUUCAAACCCUCAAGAUGAUGCUGUAAAUGAAGCUGUAAGCUCUUUUAGGAAUGAUGACCUUGAGCUCGAUUCCGGUUUAAAUCCAUCCUCCUCAAAUGUUCAAAGGCACGCAGUUUCAAGUACUCAUGCUGAUCUUGGCACAAAUGACCGGACACCGGCAUCUUCGGAUUGUAGAGAGGAUAGUCAUGGAAGGAAGUGCAAGCAAAACCAAAUCGCUGGGGUUCUUGAGGAUUUUUUGCAAUUCAAGAAGGAACAAAGUAACAAGUUUAUUAGUGAGGUCAAUCAACCAUCAAAUGAAAGAAGCAAAGAAGAGUAUUCCAUUGGAAAGUGUGUUGCUAUUUUGGAGUCAAUGGAAGAUCUAAGUGAAGAAGAAAUGGCAAAAGCAUUAGGAGUGUUUAAGUGUGAAGAAAACCGGGAGAUCUUUAUGACUACCAAGAGGGCACGUGUUAGGUUGUUGUGGCUUAGGGAUGAGAUUAACAAACAGGUAUUUCAAAUGAAGCACUACUCAAUUCAGUUUGAUAAAUAUUUUGCAUUUCUUCAGUUUGAUAAAUCAUUUUGUAACACAAUUUUAUUCAAUUGCAGGUGCUAUCUCCACGAGUGAGUGGUGUAUGAGGAUUCCUGUACUUGGUAACAAUUUUAUUCAAUUUUAAUUUCUGUCGAGAAUUUAGAUUGCCUAUAAAUCUUGCUGCUGCAAUGUUGAGAUUUUAGAUUGUGUACGUAUUUAACCCGUUAACUCUCUAUGAACUGCCAAAUUGGUUCUAAUGAUAAUGUUGUACUGAUCUCUAUGAGCAGUCAUCUCUGAAUUGGCUUAACUUCCUAUCAUGUGUCAUGUGACCAAGUAUGCACUUCAUGCUACUAGAUGUUAUUACAGUUUUGUUUGGAAUUCAUCUUUUCCAUUGCCUCUGAAGUUCUAUAUCCAUGAUGUACUAAUUAGAUAAUACAACAAGCUCUAUUGUGACUCCAUUUGUUGUAACUUACACCACUGUAUCCUAUGAUGCGAAGUUUUCUGUUCGGUUUACAUGCCAUUAGCCUUCUGCAGCAUAAUAGAAUACUACUUUUAGACAUAAGUAUGAAUAUGAUGUGUGCGAAAAAAUGUAAUUAUAAUAUUUUAUUAGUUAGCAGUUUCAUGUAUCAGUAUGAACUGAUUUGACUUACACUAUUGUAUACCAUGUUCUCACCCUAUUCACUUGUUGAUGAACAGGAAGUGUGUAGAAAUAUUGAUGUGAGAUGCUAAAGCUACUGAAGUAAGAAGUGCAAUUGUUAAGAAAACUGAAGUAAUGAGAUUGUUAAGAAUAUUGAGAUCUCUUGUGCUUGAUCUAAUGUAAUAGGACCUAUUAGCUUCUAUAUUUGGAUGACAUUGUCUUUGUAUAAUUUGAGCACUUGGUACUUUCUAUAGUCUGGAAUGAUCUAAUAAUUUAGCACUUGGUACUUUCUAUACCUGGAUGGCAUGUCUCUAUGCUGUGGUGGUGUUGAACUGAAGUUGAGCAUGCAUAAUGGAGAACCAGGAGAAUCAGAUUGUGGUGUUGUAUUGUUGUUGCUAUAAUUUUUCAUUUGUGAGCUUUUGUCAACAGUGGAUCGAUAAACUUGUAAAACCAAUGUGAUAUUAAGUGCUGUUGAAAACUUUAUUUGAAGCAACAAAAUGUUGGAUGAAAAAUAUUCUAUUUCAUUGCAUUAACAUAUUUUGUUUCCUAUUGUCUUCAUGUGCUCUACUUGAUCAAUUUCUAAUUUUUUAAAUUGUUUUCAGUGAUGUUAAAUCCUUUUUUUAUUCACUUGACACUCAUAGUUGCAGCAGAAUUUUUAUGGGAUACAAACAUAUUGAAAAUGUAAAUGGAUAGUGUAAGAUACUUGAUAAGUGUAAUUAAACUGUAAAAUACAGCUGGUCAGCAGACUGGGAGGAAACCCCGGAGCUCCAAAUAGCAGCCGGGGAGCUUGACCCUGCCAGGUGCUGCCCACCCAGGGAUUCGUGGUGGUAGGGAUUUGACCCUCGGGUGUUGGGUUCCCUGGGGAAAAACUGGUCCGACUGCCAAACGAAGCCUAAAAGGUUGUACAUUUCAUCGAUACAUACGCCUCUUAUGCAAACUCCAUCUUUAUACGUGACUACAUGAAUAAAAAGUACCCGUGAUAGCGCGAAUAAAUUGGCUUGAUUUGUACCACUAGCUAGCUAGUCCAACAUGUUUUAUAAACGUCAUAUUCCUUGUUGCAUAUAACCUUGUAUUAGCACUACAGGAAAAUAGUUAAUUCCCGUCGGCCAGGAACCGACGAGAAUAAGCAUUAAACCGACGGGAAUAAGUAAUUCCCGUCGGUUUAGGGCUUAUUCCCGUCAGUUGUCAGCCUCCAGGCGUCUCUUGUCGGGAUAAGGUUAUCCCCGUCGGCCGUCGACGGUAAUACUUAAUCUCUGUCGGCCAAUAACGAGCCGACGGGAAUUACGGCUAAUUCCCGUCGACCACCACAACCGACGUGAGUUACUAAUUAAUCCCCGUCGGCCAGGUCAGCCGAUGGGAGUUAACUGGGCCGACGGGAGUUAAUAGUUAAUUCUCGUCGGCUAUGGUCAAACCGCCGGGAAUUAACUGGGCCGACGGGAGUUAACCUAUAAUUCUGCAACAGCAACACCAAAUUAGAUAUUUCUCCACAAUUGCACACAUAACAUACACAAAACAUAUAUAUCACAAACAUAUGACAAAACAUAUCACAUGAACAUAUAAAUCACAAACGCAUUGACAUCACACAUCACAAACGCAUUGAUAGAAUUCACACAUCACAAACAUUUCAGAUACGAGAGUGUUUACACAAACAUAACGUCCACGAGUUAAAAUACAUAACGAGCACGAGUUCAAGUGUUUAGAGAUAACCACCACUUGGGUGGUUAGAGCUUUGACCGCUGCCGCCACCACCACCAGGAGGAGGAGGGAACACGAAGAGCGAGUCAACAAAUCCAGUCCCUGCUACGGGAUCAGAACCACUACCACCCGCUUCGGGUGUAACCUAUGCAAGUUAGCAAAUAUCAACACGUUAAAUGCAAAUAUCAAAAAGUAUACAAGUGUAUAAAUUAAUCGACAGUUAUCAAACGUACCCUAUCUCUAGGUGCAGGUAUAUGUGUCAGAGGGGUGUUGAACUGUGGUGGCGGAGCUGAUGUGUUUGCAAACUGGCUCCAUUGUGGUGGCAGUCACUACAGGAAUCAAGAAGAUUCCCGUCGGCCAUUUUAAUUCUCGUCGGCCUUUGCUCGGGCCGACGGGAAUUAAGCAACUCCCGUCGGCUAAAAGCUAGCCCACGAGCUUUAUUUUUACUCCCGUCGGCCCAGCCGCCAGCCGACGAGCUUUAGUUUAACUCCCGUCGGCCCAGCCGCCAGCCGACGGGAAUUAGUUAACUCCCGUCGGCCCUGACGCCAGCCGACGGGAAUUAAUGCUUUAUGUGCCGGCGGUCACCCGCGCGGCUCAUUUCCUCUCUCUCGGUUUCCAAGCCUCCUACGCCGCCGCCGGAGAAACGCCGCCCCCGACGCCGGCCGCCGCCCACCACCGCCCCGGCCAGCCGCCCCGCGGCCUAGGAGCGCGCCCGCCGCCCACCACCGUCCCGGCCGCGCGCCCGCCGCCCACCACCGCUGUCACACCCGGUUUUAGAAGGCAAACCGAAUGCGAACCAUGUACGUGCCAGGAUCAGUUAUUCACGUACACAGCAGUUACAUAACAUGGACAUCAUCACACAAUGCUCAAAAUAGUAUUAAAAGGGAAAUAAUAGUCGAUUACAUCAUACGUCUGAGACGUCCUGUAACGCCCUGAAUUUGGGGGUAGAAUUUUUUUUCUUCUUUUCUCUCACCAAAUUCAGGCGUUACCCUUUUCUUUUCUCGUUCCCUCGCUAAACCUUGAUCUUUUCCAAAGUUAUAGCGGGGUUUGGCUUGGAAUUCCCGUGUAAAGAAAAACCCUAAAUUACUUUAUGUUGUUUGAUGCACCAUGCCGAACUAUGCAUUCUUUGAUUGCUUAGAGAUGUAAGUGCAUUCAUCUAGGAAGAUCGGAUUUCGAAAAGGAGAAAAACAUUUUCUUUCUUUUUCUUUUUCUUUCUCUCUCUCCUCCUUUUUCUCUCUCCCGCGCCGUGGGCCGCCCCGACCGACCCAGCCGCCCCUGGCCGGCCCAGCCGCCCCCCUC
Molecule: long non-coding RNA, 27638 nt
Filed under: Zea mays
Lineage: Eukaryota; Viridiplantae; Streptophyta; Magnoliopsida; Poales; Poaceae
Description: long non-coding RNA (ZMAY_LNC001414)
Source: RNAcentral